Molecule: unclassified non-coding RNA, 204 nt
Filed under: uncultured Cordyceps
Lineage: Eukaryota; Fungi; Ascomycota; Sordariomycetes; Hypocreales; Cordycipitaceae
Description: sequence contains ITS2
Source: RNAcentral
CAACCCUCAGGUACCCCCCGCUGCGUCUGUGGCGGGUGGGAGCCUGGUGUUGGGGACCGGCGGAAAACCUGCCCCAGGGCAGCCGCCGCCCCCUAAAUGAAUUGGCGGCCUCGUCGCGGCCCUCCUCUGCGUAGUAGCACACACCUCGCAACGGGAGCCCGGCGGCGGCCACUGCCGUAAAACGCACAAUCUUCUCUUCUAGAG